GCCCGCGUGGUGGAAUGGUAGACGCGUCCGACUCAAAAUCGGAAGCCGAAAGGCGUGGGGGUUCGAGUCCCUCCGCGGGCACCA
This 84-nucleotide transfer RNA is filed under the name Methylobacterium sp. RNAcentral's name for it is "tRNA-Leu". It matches the Rfam family "tRNA". From Rfam's summary of the family: Transfer RNA (tRNA) molecules are approximately 80 nucleotides in length. Their secondary structure includes four short double-helical elements and three loops (D, anti-codon, and T loops). Lineage: Bacteria; Pseudomonadati; Pseudomonadota; Alphaproteobacteria; Hyphomicrobiales; Methylobacteriaceae. The record is from RNAcentral. RNAcentral also lists the same sequence under 2 other names.